RNAcentral lists this ribosomal RNA (406 nucleotides) under uncultured bacterium. RNAcentral's name for it is "partial 16S ribosomal RNA". It matches the Rfam family "Bacterial small subunit ribosomal RNA", at positions 29 to 526 of the family's 1533-position model. The record is from RNAcentral.
AUUGAACGCUGGCGGCAGGCCUAACACAUGCAAGUCGAACGAGUGGCGGACGGGUGAGUAAUGUCUGGGAAACUGCCUGAUGGAGGGGGAUAACUACUGGAAACGGUAGCUAAUACCGCAUACCAUCAGAUGUGCCCAGAUGGGAUUAGCUAGUUGGUGGGGUAACGGCUCACCAAGGGGGCGAGCCCUAGCUGGUCUGAGAGGAUGACCCGCCCAACCGGAACUGGAGCCAGGUCCGACACCCAACGGGGGGAGAACGGGGGGAAUAUUGCACAAUGGGCGCAAGCCUGCUGCAGACAGGCCGCGUGUAUGAGAAAGGCCUUCGGGUUGUAAGGUACUUUCGGCGGGGAGGCGUUACCCGCAGAAGAAGCACCGGCUAACUCCGUGCCAGCAGCCGCGGUAAUAC